UGGAUGAACGCUAGCUACAGGCUUAACACAUGCAAGUCGAGGGGCAGCAUGGUCUUAGCUUGCUAAGGCCGAUGGCGACCGGCGCACGGGUGAGUAACACGUAUCCAACCUGCCGUCUACUCUUGGACAGCCUUCUGAAAGGAAGAUUAAUACAAGAUGGCAUCAUGAGUCCGCAUGUUCACAUGAUUAAAGGUAUUCCGGUAGACGAUGGGGAUGCGUUCCAUUAGAUAGUAGGCGGGGUAACGGCCCACCUAGUCUUCGAUGGAUAGGGGUUCUGAGAGGAAGGUCCCCCACAUUGGAACUGAGACACGGUCCAAACUCCUACGGGAGGCAGCAGUGAGGAAUAUUGGUCAAUGGGCGAGAGCCUGAACCAGCCAAGUAGCGUGAAGGAUGACUGCCCUAUGGGUUGUAAACUUCUUUUAUAAAGGAAUAAAGUCGGGUAUGGAUACCCGUUUGCAUGUACUUUAUGAAUAAGGAUCGGCUAACUCCGUGCCAGCAGCCGCGGUAAUACGGAGGAUCCGAGCGUUAUCCGGAUUUAUUGGGUUUAAAGGGAGCGUAGAUGGAUGUUUAAGUCAGUUGUGAAAGUUUGCGGCUCAACCGUAAAAUUGCAGUUGAUACUGGAUAUCUUGAGUGCAGUUGAGGCAGGCGGAAUUCGUGGUGUAGCGGUGAAAUGCUUAGAUAUCACGAAGAACUCCGAUUGCGAAGGCAGCCUGCUAAGCUGCAACUGACAUUGAGGCUCGAAAGUGUGGGUAUCAAACAGGAUUAGAUACCCUGGUAGUCCACACGGUAAACGAUGAAUACUCGCUGUUUGCGAUAUACUGCAAGCGGCCAAGCGAAAGCGUUAAGUAUUCCACCUGGGGAGUACGCCGGCAACGGUGAAACUCAAAGGAAUUGACGGGGGCCCGCACAAGCGGAGGAACAUGUGGUUUAAUUCGAUGAUACGCGAGGAACCUUACCCGGGCUUAAAUUGCAGAUGAAUUACGGUGAAAGCCGUAAGCCGCAAGGCAUCUGUGAAGGUGCUACAUGGUUGUCGUCAGCCCGUGCCGUGAGGUGUCGGCUUAAGUGCCAUAACGAGCGCAACCCUUGUUGUCAGUUACUAACAGGUUCCGCUGAGGACUCUGACAAGACUGCCAUCGUAAGAUGUGAGGAAGGUGGGGAUGACGUCAAAUCAGCACGGCCCUUACGUCCGGGGCUACACACGUGUUACAAUGGGGGGUACAGAGGGCCGCUACCACGCGAGUGGAUGCCAAUCCCCAAAACCUCUCUCAGUUCGGACUGGAGUCUGCAACCCGACUCCACGAAGCUGGAUUCGCUAGUAAUCGCGCAUCAGCCACGGCGCGGUGAAUACGUUCCCGGGCCUUGUACACACCGCCCGUCAAGCCAUGGGAGCCGGGGGUACCUGAAGUGCGUAACCGCGAGGAGCGCCCUAGGGUAAAACUG
This 1440-nucleotide ribosomal RNA is filed under the name uncultured organism. RNAcentral describes it as "SSU rRNA". It matches the Rfam family "Bacterial small subunit ribosomal RNA". The record is from RNAcentral.